UGGGGAAUAUUGGACAAUGGGCGCAAGCCUGAUCCAGCCAUGCCGCGUGAGUGAUGAAGGCCCUAGGGUUGUAAAGCUCUUUCACCGGUGAAGAUAAUGACGGUAACCGGAGAAAAAGCCCCGGCUAACUUCGUGCCAGCAGCCGCGGUAAUACGAAGGGGGCUAGCGUUGUUCGGAUUUACUGGGCGUAAAGCGCACGUAGGCGGACUUUUAAGUCAGGGGUGAAAUCCCGGGGCUCAACCCCGGAACUGCCUUUGAUACUGGAAGUCUUGAGUAUGGUAGAGGUUAGUGGAAUUCCGAGUGUAGAGGUGAAAUUCGUAGAUAUUCGGAGGAACACCAGUGGCGAAGGCGGCUCACUGGACCAUUACUGACGCUGAGGUGCGAAAGCGUGGGGAGCAAACAGG
Molecule: ribosomal RNA, 404 nt
Filed under: Actinomycetes bacterium
Lineage: Bacteria; Bacillati; Actinomycetota; Actinomycetes
Description: Actinobacteria bacterium partial 16S ribosomal RNA
Rfam family: Bacterial small subunit ribosomal RNA
Source: RNAcentral